This 548-nucleotide ribosomal RNA is filed under the name uncultured bacterium. Its description in RNAcentral is "partial 16S ribosomal RNA". It matches the Rfam family "Bacterial small subunit ribosomal RNA", at positions 355 to 895 of the family's 1533-position model. The record is from RNAcentral.
UGGGGAAUUUUGGACAAUGGGCGAAAGCCUGAUCCAGCAAUGCCGCGUGUGUGAAGAAGGCCUUCGGGUUGUAAAGCACUUUUGUCCGGAAAGAAAUCCUCUGGGUUAAUACCUCGGGGGGAUGACGGUACCGGAAGAAUAAGCACCGGCUAACUACGUGCCAGCAGCCGCGGUAAUACGUAGGGUGCAAGCGUUAAUCGGAAUUACUGGGCGUAAAGCGUGCGCAGGCGGUUUUGUAAGACGGAUAUGAAAUCCCCGGGCUUAACCUGGGAACUGCAUUCGUGACUGCAAGGCUAGAGUAUGGCAGAGGGGGGUAGAAUUCCACGUGUAGCAGUGAAAUGCGUAGAGAUGUGGAGGAAUACCGAUGGCGAAGGCAGCCCCCUGGGCCAAUACUGACGCUCAUGCACGAAAGCGUGGGGAGCAAACAGGAUUAGAUACCCUGGUAGUCCACGCCCUAAACGAUGUCAACUAGUUGUUGGGGAUUCAUUUCCUUAGUAACGUAGCUAACGCGUGAAGUUGACCGCCUGGGGGAGUACGGUCGCAAGAUU